UACGGGGGGGGCAAGCGUUGUUCGGAAUUACUGGGCGUAAAGGGCUCGUAGGCGGCCAACUAAGUCAUACGUGAAGUCCCUCGGCUUAACCGGGGAACUGCGUCUGAUACUGGAUGGCUUGAGUUCGGGAGAGGGAUGCGGAAUUCCAGGUGUAGCGGUGAAAUGCGUAGAUAUCUGGAGGAACACCGGUGGCGAAGGCGGCAUCCUGGACCGAUACUGACGCUGAUGAGCGAAAGCCAGGGGAGCAAACGGA
This 253-nucleotide ribosomal RNA is filed under the name uncultured bacterium. Its description in RNAcentral is "partial 16S ribosomal RNA". It matches the Rfam family "Bacterial small subunit ribosomal RNA", at positions 524 to 776 of the family's 1533-position model. The record is from RNAcentral.